CAGUAGCCACGGUAAUACGUAGGUGGCAAGCGUUGUCCGGAAUUAUUGGGCGUAAAGGGCUCGCAGGCGGUUUCUUAAGUCUGAUGUGAAAGCCCCCGGCUCAACCGGGGAGGGUCAUUGGAAACUGGGAAACUUGAGUGCAGAAGAGAAGAGUGGAAUUCCGCGUGUAGCGGUGAAAUGCGUAGAGAUGUGGAGGAACACCAGUGGCGAAGGCGACUCUCUGGUCUGUAACUGACGCUGAGGAGCGAAAGCGUGGGGAGCGAACAGGAUUAGAGACCCCUGUAGUCCCUGUCUCUUAUAC
RNAcentral lists this ribosomal RNA (301 nucleotides) under uncultured bacterium. RNAcentral describes it as "partial 16S ribosomal RNA". It matches the Rfam family "Bacterial small subunit ribosomal RNA", at positions 509 to 807 of the family's 1533-position model. The record is from RNAcentral.